Non-coding RNA from Vicia faba (fava bean), 240 nucleotides. The record is from the annotation of a GenBank genome assembly. Lineage: Eukaryota; Viridiplantae; Streptophyta; Magnoliopsida; Fabales; Fabaceae.
AUGAACCUCAUUGUAAGUGCGGCACACACUAGUUUUCUCUCGCAACGGAAACGAAACCAAAACUCUCACCUCUCUCUCUGUAUAAAGGCGCGAAAACGAUUCUCUCUUUCUCGCCGAUCCGCCACCACCGCAACAAGUUCACACUCUAAUGUAAUCUCUCUUUCUCGCCGAUCCGCCACCACCGCAACAAGUUCACACUCUAACGUUCAUCACUCACUACAUUCUCUUCUCUCCGUAUAG